Long non-coding RNA from Hypomesus transpacificus, 1393 nucleotides. RefSeq lists it as uncharacterized. The transcript is spliced from 3 exons. NCBI's taxonomy places the organism in Eukaryota, Metazoa, Chordata, Actinopteri, Osmeriformes, Osmeridae. The record is from RefSeq and is a predicted model, not a curated record.
CCUGGCCACUCACUUUCUGAUGUUGCACGACGGGAAAUGCUUUGAAUACUUGCGACAUGGCCGCUUGCAUUGAUUGCCAAGAUUGACAGCUCUAACCAUCGUCUUCUGUUGUCUCAGAGCAAGAGAGGGGGAAAUAAAGAGGAUAGAUAACAACAAAAGCUCCUUGCAGUUUUGACAGUCUAACUUUAUAGAGAGAACGGGAUCCCCUCAUAUGGCCCGUGGACACAACAGCAGACUUUAGUUCUCUUUUGCUAGAUAGUGAUCAUUAUUUUAUAACAUAACAAACAGACACCGGGAUACAGCGAAGACCUGCGUCACCCUUGCUGACUGACUUUGCCAAGGACUAUCUGCACGUGGAUUUCGGAGAAACUCGAUUGAGGUUUUGCAAAAAGUAAAGAAGACUACAUUUCCGAACUGGAUCCAGCCAAACAGAUAUCAACUCUGAAGCAUAUGGUGCCAGUCAUUUUCAUGAGUUCAACAUCCACUAUUCAGUGAUCGCUGGGAGCUGGGGAUUUGGUAUUUCUGUUUGUGUAAGUAGCUUUUUUCUUCUAUUAUAUGUUGUUCUAUUAUAUGUUGUUCUAUCCAUCACAUCUAUCCUUCACCUCCGCUGUCUCCCCCUGCAGACCUCAUCGGCAUACAAGCACACGCACAGUUAGCCUGACACACAAAGCAUACUGUCGUACCAUUUCUAACAAAACGGUUUAUUAAAUGCUUCGUAAAUGCCUUGCAUUCCCCAAAUUCCAAACACCAAUAUCAUUUCAAGUUUUGUUUUUUCCACCUUGUUAAAAGUGCAAUAUACUGUGCCAAGUGUUCAGAUGUUUUUUUGAGGGUCAUGAGUCUAUGUCCACCUACACCAAAGGAUACAGAGCAAUGUCAUUGUUUUAUAGUUCUUAAUAUUUUCUCGAACUAGGUCGAUAUCAGGAGUGUGCCUUUGUCUGAGUUGAAGCUUUCAAACUUCUUGCAAAACAGCCAGUGAGUAAACAGCCAGAGAGUAUACACUACAGUACAGCAUUGGAAACUCUAUUCAACUAUUUCAUGGUUCUUCUCGUCUGAAGCACCGACAAUAAAGAGUAUACCCGAGAAAAAAGUUUAGGGAAUGUUGAUCAAAUAUAGCAGGAGAAAGUUUACCUGACAUUCAUAUUUUUUCAAAUGGCAGUGUGUGAUGUAUUCACCAACAGAGACAGGGCAGCCUAUAUUACUAUGAUCGGGGAGAGGGGAGAUUUCAUUGGUGGUGCAUAAUCAUUUGCUUGACAGCGUGGUUGCCCAGUAUCCCAUCUCAAAGUUCACGGCUGCUUAACCAUGUCUUGUCAAACUCUCUGCAGACGACCGACCCUGAUGGCUGGCGUGUCGUUUGUUUGUUUGUUUCGUUGUGUGAGUGUGUGUAGCGUGUGAC